This 86-nucleotide small RNA is filed under the name Flavobacterium sp. 120. RNAcentral's name for it is "Flavo-1 RNA". Lineage: Bacteria; Pseudomonadati; Bacteroidota; Flavobacteriia; Flavobacteriales; Flavobacteriaceae. The record is from RNAcentral.
UUGUAGCGCGCAAGGGAUAAUAGCGGAAAGCCCACAAUGCCGCAUUUUUGCGGUGCGAGGACUUAUAGCGGAUAGCCCGACGCAGC